RNAcentral lists this ribosomal RNA (1146 nucleotides) under Triticum aestivum (bread wheat). RNAcentral's name for it is "partial small subunit ribosomal RNA". The record is from RNAcentral. Lineage: Eukaryota; Viridiplantae; Streptophyta; Magnoliopsida; Poales; Poaceae.
AUGCAGGGCAGCAGCAGCGUGACCGCCUUCGACGACCUGCCCGAGUGGCUCGUCGUUGACGAGAUCCUUGUCCGCUUGCCGCCCAAGGAUGUGCUCCGCUGCCGUGCCGUUCGCAAGUCGUGGCGCAGCGGCACAUCCACCGAUGCGUUCAACCUCGGACACCACUGUCGCCAGCCCUCGCUUCCCAUCAUCCAACACAAAUUGGGCAUCUGCCGCGUCGUCGGAGGCUGCAAUGAUCUAAAGAUACGGCCUGUCAUCCGGUAUGAAGGCUCCUUUACAAAAUUCCAACUCCAAGCCGCCUGUGAUGGCCUCCUCAUCGUGUCGCAGCAAGCCAAUUUCUUCAUCUGCAAUCCAGCCACCCUCAAGUGUGCUUCACUGCCACGUCCUCCACUACGGCCACGCUUCAGUUUCAUCGACGUAGUCGGCUUCUACCGGCACCACACAUCUGGAGAACACCGGAUACUCUGGGUGUCAUACACGAAACCCAUUAGGAUUUACGAGACAUUUCAGUUGCCUGAUUACUUUAUCCACGCGGUGGGAUCGAGCCAGCCAAGAUGCAUCCAAUGGCCGACAGUUUCAGAACAAAAGUAUUUUCCUGCUACCCGGUCUGCCGAUUGUCCGCCAGUCCACCAUCGUGGUAGCCUGCACUGGCUAAUGGGCCUCAACAUAACAGUAUUUGACACCGUAGCCGAGACAUUCCGGCAGACGAGCCGCCCAACACAGUUGGGCGAUAUGGUGUCAUUGUUGGAUAUGGGCGAGGCCCUUGCUUUGUGCCACGUCGCCCCUGACUGCGCCACAUUAGAUGUUUGGGUGUUGCAGGUCUAUGAUGCCGGGACCUGGGGCUUUCACUACCGGAUUGACCUGUUAGGGAUGGAGGCAUCACCACCGAUUAAUUGGAUGUUCCAAUCUAUCCCUAGGAUGGCUCUGAUCAAUGAGCGUGAGCUGUUGAUCCAGAGGCAUAUUCACCAUCUGUUGCAUUGUGACAUUGAUGGUGUGUUUUUAGGUAAUGUGGAAAGCGAAGAGCGUUUAUCCUGCUGGACACUUACUCGGCAUUGCCUCCAAGAGAGCAUGAUUUCACUUCCAUUGUUUGAGAUGCAGGAAGAAGAAGCUGUGAACCAGGAGCCCCCAUUCUCCAUUGUGUUAUAA